ACGUAGGGGGCUAGCGUUGUCCGGGAUCAUUGGGCGUAAAGGGCGCGUAGGCGGGCUCUCAAGUCAGGGGUGAAAGCCCAAGGCUCAACCUUGGAAUUGCCUUUGAUACUGAGGGCCUUGAGACCGGAAGAGGUCGGCGGAACUGCGAGUGUAGAGGUGAAAUUCGUAGAUAUUCGCAAGAACACCAGUGGCGAAGGCGGUCGACUGGUCCGGUUCUGACGCUGAGGCGCGAAAGCGUGGGGAGCAAACGGGA
Molecule: ribosomal RNA, 253 nt
Filed under: uncultured prokaryote
Description: partial 16S ribosomal RNA
Rfam family: Bacterial small subunit ribosomal RNA
Source: RNAcentral